AAGAGGGGACAGAGCAGAGGCUGGGAAGAGGCAGAGCAUGGAAUGAGUUAUUGACAGAAACAGGGACUGUUUUGGCUCGACCCUGCACUGCCUCUUCCCUGGCCGUCGCCUCUUCCUCUGC
Molecule: microRNA precursor, 121 nt
Filed under: Eucalyptus grandis
Lineage: Eukaryota; Viridiplantae; Streptophyta; Magnoliopsida; Myrtales; Myrtaceae
Description: MIR408 microRNA precursor family
Rfam family: MIR408 microRNA precursor family
Source: Rfam by way of RNAcentral